CCUGCUUGUGCUUGAAAUUUAGCAUGUACUCCCAAAUACCCCCAAAGGACACUGUUGAUAUAAGACCCAUUUUAUUGAAAGAGAAUGGUAUCCCUCAUUCAAAGAUGCAACUCAGUUGUUUCUUUUCUCUAGAAGCUUUUCUGGAUUUUCUGACCCCCUGUUUAAACGGAACUUGUCUUUUUUAAUUCCCCUAAACUCAUUGCACAGAAAGAAUCCCAAAGUCACACUAUUGGGAAGUGGUGCAGGCCAUCUGGUUCAACCAUGUUUCCAGUUUCUGUAACUGCAAAGGAAUUUUCCCCGAGCACUCAAGUGGUACACAUGCCUCCUCCACAAUAAGUCAGAUCAUCCUAGCAUGAGGGAAUUAUCCUAGCUAAUGAUAGCUAAUACAUACAGAUUGUUUACUAUGCCCAGAUGUUUCAUAGACAAUUAUUAAAAGGCCGAAUAGGGUACAGAUCAAUAGCGUGAAUUCCAGAGUUGGAGACCUGGGGUUCAGAUCCUGCUAUUUAAUUUAAUGUAACCUUGGCUGAACUGCUUAACCUUUCUAAGCCACAAUUCCUUCCUUAACAAAAUGGGGAUAAUUGUAGCUAUUAUAAAUUGUUGUCAGGGUUAAAUUAGAUAAUGGAAGCUGGAGCACUUAGAAUAUUUGACAUGUAGUAAGGAAAAAAUGUUAAUUAUUUUUACCAUCCUUUGCUUAUAUCCAAAUGCUUAAGUGUGAUUUUCAACACUCUAUUAUAUUCAAGGAUCAUAGAUGCUGAAAUUGAUACACAGUAGACCUGGUAGUUGAAGACCAAUGAGAUUAUAAUUAUGAUAACUGCCUGGUACAUUUUUUUUUCUUCUCCAGACAAUGGAUUUUAAGUCUGCUCAAGAAGCUGAUUGACAGUGCUGCCUUAGAUUGGUAUGCUCCGUUUUUGAAGUAGAGGAUGAUUCAACCACAUUUCUCCCAGUUUUGAGCAUUUGGAAUCUAGGAUUGAAUAUUUACUAUGGGAAAUGUGGGGCACAUAACUAGAGAGUCCAUAAUAAUACCAUACGCACUCUUGUAAAGGGAAAAGACAAAACUUUAUUUCAGGAUUGCUUAAGGGUAAAUACAUUGUUUUUCCUUAUUAUGUAUAUAUCCUUUUUUUGGUCUCCGCUCUGUCUGUGUCUCUGUCUCUCUGUCUCCUUCUGUCUCUCUCUUUCACACACACACACACACACACACACACACGCACACACACACACACACACACACACUUUCCAGAAGAACAGUUCCAACGAAAGGAGAAAUUCUCAAAAUCUUUGAGUUGUUUUUGUUAGCACUAUUCCUAAUAAUAAUUGUUGUUGUUAUUAGUCAACAUUGAGCAUCACCACUUUUUGUGAUAACCCUUAGUGAACUCUUAGCAAUUGCACAGAACUUCCCAGUUCUGCAGGCUCCAUGCUAAAUCUCCAAUGCCAUUUCCUGUAGUAGAGCGCCCCCUAGCACUUCCACACACCUCUGAGUUAAUUGUGCUCUGAGACCUCCAGGAACAGCUACUAAAUUAAUUAUCAGAGGCAGUUUUCACCAUUUAGAGACUUAGAUUCUCUAAGAGCUUAAGUACCUGGCAUUAACAUGCUGUUAUUUGUUCAUCUGACCUCAUAGCAGCUGGAAUAGGGAAGAACAGUUUUGGGGCAGCCUAAUCUGCCAGAAGCAAAGCAGGUGGUUUUCUCUAAAGUCACAAUUGAAUUUAAAAGUCCCAUUAGUUUUGUCAAGUCAACUGAAUUCUCUUAAUCUGCUAAUGAUUUCCCUUUGGAAUUAUUGCAGUAAAAGAGUGGGCAGACUUCUAUUAGGUAAUGUUUAAAGCUUGUGUGUGUGAGAGAGAGAGAGAGAGACGGAGAGAGAAACAGAGAUAUAGAAAGAACAAACAGUAGAGACUGACUUUAGGUUUAUGAAGUUCACUUCUUAGUUUAUGCCUGAAAUGAAGAGAUUUUGGCUGCUGUCUUAUUUGUAUUUAAUUUGGGUGGCCCACCUUGGCAUUAGAUCAAAGCUUUGGGCCCUCUUUUAGAGCAUUUGCAUGUCUGGGAAGAAGGUGGUAGGCUCAUGCAGCAGAACAUAAGAGCGUAUUGCUUGAACGAAGGCAGGGAGGGCGUGGGGGAGGUGUGAGAUAUUUUAAAAAUAAGACAUGCUGCUAAAUUCCCUGCCAACCUCCGUUCAUGCUGAGUGGAGUGUAAGUAACAAGUAUCAGAUAGUUCCUCCAGAUGUCAGCUAUUUAAAGAGGCACGUGCUAGAAGUUCUGUGGAUUUAUGCCUGGUAGCAGUAAGGUUAUGGUGGUGGUAGUGAGUGGCAUGGCAUUGGAAGUGAAUGUCUAUCAUGAAGAAACUUUAUCAACAACAAAUGCAUGUUGGAAUGUAUUUGUGCAUUUGUGAAGUAAGAAAAAUUAGGAGAAGAAAUGACCUAAUAACUCUGGAAGGCCAUCAUAUCAAACUUAAUGCAAGUAACAGAUGCAAGUAACAUCUGAUUUUUAAAUGUAUGAAGCAAGAGGAACAUCCAGAACCCUUACUCCCUGUAGAAUUAUCAUAUUAUCCUUGAUAAAUUUACUAAAAAGCCAAGAAAUUAUGCAAUGAGGUGAAUGAUUCUUCACAUUCAAUUUUAAGGUUUCUCUGUUAUUUAACCUAAAACAGACUAAAAAAAUCAAUUAUGAUUAUUGUCUUUUGUAAUGUUUUGAAUAUUUACAGGUAAGGAUUUCAUAUAAGACCAAGGAAAUUAGCCUGUUGAAGAUAAUAACAAUUGGGAUCAAAAUGUAGGGUCAGGUCUGCUUCUAGUUUUCAGAAUUUGUAGCAUCAGCUUCUUAAUCUCUAUCAUAGUAAAUUCUCACCCUCCUCCACUAGCUCAUUUGGUGUUUUCUUAUCACAUUCAUGCUUAAAACUCUCUGCAGAAGACCAUAAAAUUUUUUAAAACAAUCUGUUCUCCUUCGGUUUCUACAAAUUCAGAAUCAGUUCUUUUCCUUAAUUCAAAUCUCAGUGUUGUUACUUAAUAACUAGAGAAGCUCCAAAAACUAUUGUUUUAUAAUUUCUCUGAGUCUUAUUUCUUCAGGUUUUAUGUGGAAAUGAAACCAGCAAGCUUUCAGCUCCUGGCUCAUUGUUGGUGACAAACUGAUUUAACUAGUCCUUCCUUUCUGUUUGGAGAUGACAUUGGGCUCACCUCGUCCUACUGCCUUGUGUGAAUCAGACACCCAAGUAAAAACACUCACCUCAGGGAAAAAGCAGAUAGCUGAAAAAAAAAGGAGUGUGUGAUUAAGUGAAGGUAACAUUGCUAGAAAAGAAAAUCUGGUCUGUUCUUUCAAUCCUACAUCUCUCCCUUUGAGGAAUACAACAAAAUGGAGGUGUUGUUUGGUUAUGUCAAACACACUGGGAUCAGAUGUCCUUCAAACAAACUGACUUUGAGAGACACUGUGGUUAUGGUUUGUGUUUUUGUCUUUUUUUUUUUUUUCCCUUGCCUUUCCUUUACUAGAAUCUUCUGCAGGCAUCCCAGGUUGACACAUUUGCAGAAAGAGAUAAGAGACAACCAAACAGAAAAGAAUCAUAACCUGUGUAGUCACUGUGUGGCUACUUGUAAAAUGGUCCUGGAAUCCUAUCUUUAGUUAGUCCCUUGAUAGGGCAGGAGAAACUGUGAUGAGCUUUUAUUUAUGGUGUUAAAUAAAGAACACUGUGUGUCAGAAGGACUCAACUUCCUUAUCUGCUGUUUACAGCUACAGGAAGGGAGAUGUUGGUUUUUCUUCUAAGCUCUGCUUCCAACCUUUUUUUUUCUACCUUCUGAUCCAUAUUGUUUCAUACAGAAAUAUAUAAAAAUUCUGUCUUUCAAACAAAGAACUUGUUCUGUUGUCAAAAGUUAUACCUUCUCUAGUAUUUUUCUGAGACCCUUCUGUGUAGGGACAUCAUUGUGGUUCUAGUAUCAAUAGAGUAAUGCUUUAGUUUUUCCUAUAUAUAUGUAUACCAAGUUUUUCUUCUUCAACUUGGAGUCAUAAUAUUGAAUGAAAACUGAGUCAAAGAUUGAUAUUUUGGGAUCUUCUAGAUGGAGCAUUGAACUAUCUUCAGAAUAUUACAUGAGGAGGUUAGAAUUUGGUAAGAUUAUUAAGUCUAUUUUACUUUUUUGAUUCCUUCUCCUCCACCCUUAUCUUUACCUAUCCAUUCUGUGCCAUUCACUCAACUGUACCAGAAAGCAGUUCCUGAUGAAUUUGAACUAUGGAAUGAAUGAUACUACUAAUAUAUUACCCUAAAAUUUCUUUAAGCCUUGUAAAUGUAUUUACUAUUACUAGUAAUUUACUAGCCUUGUAAAUGUAUUACUAUUAUAUAUAUAUCUUAUUAUUGCCUUGGAGAGUUGCCAGUCAUGUUUGUCAUAAAUACAUCUAACAUAUUAUUUAUUUAAAGUGGAUUCAUAUCUCUACACAUUCUAUUUUAUAAAGGUCUAGCCAAAACUGAGUAAAGAAUGAAACAUAAAAGACAGAUAAAUCUUGGGGUCCUGACAGGUGGAAAGGAUGUUGUGCCUUAAUAAAGCAGUGAAAAUAAAGUGAUUAAUA
This 4529-nucleotide long non-coding RNA is filed under the name Canis lupus familiaris (dog). Its description in RNAcentral is "lncRNA (ENSCAFG00000050365.1)". The record is from RNAcentral. Lineage: Eukaryota; Metazoa; Chordata; Mammalia; Carnivora; Canidae.